UGUGAGUAGAAAAAUUUUGGAUGUGAUGUGAUGUAAUGGAAAGUUGGGAGUUUGGGAGAAGUUUGGUGUGAACUAAACAUGGCCUAUAUAUUGUUGUUGGAUUACUUUUUAAGCUCAUAUUUAGUUCCAAAACUUUUUCUUCCAACUUCCAACUUUUUCAUCACAUUAAAAUUUUCCUACACAUACAAAU
Molecule: unclassified non-coding RNA, 190 nt
Filed under: Oryza sativa (Asian cultivated rice)
Lineage: Eukaryota; Viridiplantae; Streptophyta; Magnoliopsida; Poales; Poaceae
Description: partial microRNA MIR495 precursor
Source: RNAcentral